UGGGGAGAAGACAUUGUGUCUUCGAGUCGUUGAUUUCACACUGCCGAGAAAAGCCUCUAGAUAGAAAAUAGGUGCCCGUACCGCAAACCGACACAGGUAGUCAAGAUGAGAAUUCUAAGGUGAGCGAGCGAACUCUCGUUAAGGAACUCGGCAAAAUGACCCCGUAACUUCGGGAGAAGGGGUGCUCUUUAGGGUUAACGCCCAGAAGAGCCGCAGUGAAUAGGCCCAAGCGACUGUUUAUCAAAAACACAGGUCUCUGCUAAACCGUAAGGUGAUGUAUAGGGGCUGACGCCUGCCCGGUGCUGGAAGGUUAAGAGGAGUGGUUAGCUUCUGCGAAGCUACGAAUCGAAGCCCCAGUAAACGGCGGCCGUAACUAUAACGGUCCUAAGGUAGCGAAAUUCCUUGUCGGGUAAGUUCCGACCCGCACGAAAGGCGUAACGAUUUGGGCACUGUCUCAACGAGAGACUCGGUGAAAUCAUAGUACCUGUGAAGAUGCAGGUUACCCGCGACAGGACGGAAAGACCCCGUGGAGCUUUACUGUAGCCUGAUAUUGAAAUUCGGCACAGCUUGUACAGGAUAGGUAGGAGCCUUUGAAACGUGAGCGCUAGCUUACGUGGAGGCGCUGGUGGGAUACUACCCUAGCUGUGUUGGCUUUCUAACCCGCACCACUUAUCGUGGUGGGAGACAGUGUCAGGCGGGCAGUUUGACUGGGGCGGUCGCCUCCUAAAAGGUAACGGAGGCGCUCAAAGGUUCCCUCAGAAUGGUUGGAAAUCAUUCAUAGAGUGUAAAGGCAUAAGGGAGCUUGACUGCGAGACCUACAAGUCGAGCAGGGUCGAAAGACGGACUUAGUGAUCCGGUGGUUCCGCAUGGAAGGGCCAUCGCUCAACGGAUAAAAGCUACCCCGGGGAUAACAGGCUUAUCUCCCCCAAGAGUUCACAUCGACGGGGAGGUUUGGCACCUCGAUGUCGGCUCAUCGCAUCCUGGGGCUGUAGUCGGUCCCAAGGGUUGGGCUGUUCGCCCAUUAAAGCGGUACGCGAGCUGGGUUCAGAACGUCGUGAGACAGUUCGGUCCCUAUCCGUCGUGGGCGUAGGAAAUUUGAGAGGAGCUGUCCUUAGUACGAGAGGACCGGGAUGGACAUACCUCUGGUGUACCAGUUGUCGUGCCAACGGCAUAGCUGGGUAGCUAUGUGUGGACGGGAUAAGUGCUGAAAGCAUCUAAGCAUGAAGCCCCCCUCAAGAUGAGAUUUCCCAACUUCGGUUAUAAGAUCCCU
Molecule: ribosomal RNA, 1270 nt
Filed under: Staphylococcus aureus
Lineage: Bacteria; Bacillati; Bacillota; Bacilli; Caryophanales; Staphylococcaceae
Description: partial 23S ribosomal RNA
Rfam family: Bacterial large subunit ribosomal RNA
Source: RNAcentral